RNAcentral lists this ribosomal RNA (484 nucleotides) under uncultured bacterium. RNAcentral describes it as "partial 16S ribosomal RNA". It matches the Rfam family "Bacterial small subunit ribosomal RNA", at positions 30 to 507 of the family's 1533-position model. The record is from RNAcentral.
AUUGAACGCUGGCGGCAUGCUUUACACAUGCAAGUCGAACGGCAGCGCGGGCUUCGGCCUGGCGGCGAGUGGCGAACGGGUGAGUAAUACAUCGGAACGUGCCCAGUAGUGGGGGAUAGCUCGUCGAAAGCCGGAUUAAUACCGCAUACGACCUGAGGGUGAAAGCGGGGGAUCUUCGGACCUCGCGCUAUUUGAGCGGCCGAUGGCAGAUUGGCUAGUUGGUGGGGUAAAGGCCUACCAAGGCGACGAUCUGUAGCUGGUCUGAGAGGACGACCAGCCACACUGGGACUGAGACACGGCCCAGACUCCUACGGGAGGCAGCAGUGGGGAAUUUUGGACAAUGGGCGAAAGCCUGAUCCAGCAAUGCCGCGUGUGUGAUGAAGGCCUUCGGGUUGUAAAGCACUUUUGGCGGGAACGAAAAGGACUGUGCCAAUACCACGGUUCGAUGACGGUACCCGCAGAAUAAGCACCGGCUAACUACGUG